AUUGAACGCUGGCGGCAUGCCUUACACAUGCAAGUCGAACGGUAACGGGCCUUCGGGUGCCGACGAGUGGCGAACGGGUGAGUAAUACAUCGGAACGUGCCCGAUCGUGUGGGAUAACUAGGCGAAAGCUUUGCUAAUACCGCAUACGAUCUACGGAUGAAAGCAGGGGACCGCAAGGCCUUGCGCGGACGGAGCGGCCGAUGGCAGAUUAGGUAGUUGGUGGGAUAAAAGCUUACCAAGCCGACGAUCUGUAGCUGGUCUGAGAGGAUGAUCAGCCACACUGGGACUGAGACACGGCCCAGACUCCUACGGGAGGCAGCAGUGGGGAAUUUUGGACAAUGGGCGCAAGCCUGAUCCAGCCAUGCCGCGUGCAGGAUGAAGGCCUUCGGGUUGUAAACUGCUUUUGUACGGAACGAAAAGCCUUCUUUUAAUACAGGAGGGUCAUGACGGUACCGUAAGAAUAAGCACCGGCUAACUACGUG
RNAcentral lists this ribosomal RNA (482 nucleotides) under uncultured bacterium. Its description in RNAcentral is "partial 16S ribosomal RNA". It matches the Rfam family "Bacterial small subunit ribosomal RNA", at positions 30 to 507 of the family's 1533-position model. The record is from RNAcentral.